RNAcentral lists this ribosomal RNA (254 nucleotides) under uncultured bacterium. RNAcentral's name for it is "partial 16S ribosomal RNA". It matches the Rfam family "Bacterial small subunit ribosomal RNA", at positions 524 to 777 of the family's 1533-position model. The record is from RNAcentral.
UACAGGGGGGGCAAGCGUUGUUCGGAAUUACUGGGCGUAAAGGGCUCGUAGGCGGCCAACUAAGUCACACGUGAAAUCCCCAGGCUUAACCUGGGAACUGCGUGUGAUACUGGAUGGCUUGAAUUCGGGAGAGGGAUGCAGAAUUCCAGGUGUAGCGGUGAAAUGCGUAGAUAUCUGGAGGAAUACCGGUGGCGAAGGCGGCAUCCUGGACCGACAUUGACGCUGAUGAGCGAAAGCUAGGGGAGCAAACGGGG